CCCUACGGGGGGCAGCAGUAGGGAAUCUUCGGCAAUGGACGAAAGUCUGACCAAGCAACGCCGCGUGAGUGAAGAAGGUUUUCGGAUCGUAAAACUCUGUUGGUAGAGAAGAACGUUGGUGAGAGUGGAAAGCUCAUCAAGUGACGGUAACUACCCAGAAAGGGACGGCUAACUACGUGCCAGCAGCCGCGGUAAUACGUAGGGGGCAAGCGUUAUCCGGAAUUACUGGGUUUAAAGGGUGCGCAGGCGGGAGAUCAAGUCAGCGGUAAAAUGUCGGGGCUCAACCCCGGCCGGCCGUUGAAACU
This 305-nucleotide ribosomal RNA is filed under the name uncultured bacterium. RNAcentral describes it as "bacterial SSU rRNA". It matches the Rfam family "Bacterial small subunit ribosomal RNA", at positions 337 to 634 of the family's 1533-position model. The record is from RNAcentral.